CGUAGGUGGCAAGCGUUGUCCGGAAUUAUUGGGCGUAAAGCGCGCGCAGGCGGUCCUUUAAGUCUGAUGUGAAAUCACGUGGCUCAACCACGUGCGGUCAUUGGAAACUGGAGGACUUGAGUGCAGAAGAGGAAAGUGGAAUUCCAAGUGUAGCGGUGAAAUGCGUAGAGAUUUGGAGGAACACCAGUGGCGAAGGCGACUUUCUGGUCUGUAACUGACGCUGAGGCGCGAAAGCGUGGGAGCAAACAGGAUU
This 253-nucleotide ribosomal RNA is filed under the name uncultured bacterium. RNAcentral's name for it is "partial 16S ribosomal RNA". It matches the Rfam family "Bacterial small subunit ribosomal RNA", at positions 526 to 779 of the family's 1533-position model. The record is from RNAcentral.